Molecule: ribosomal RNA, 248 nt
Filed under: uncultured Bacteroidota bacterium
Lineage: Bacteria; Pseudomonadati; Bacteroidota
Description: uncultured Bacteroidetes bacterium partial 16S ribosomal RNA
Rfam family: Bacterial small subunit ribosomal RNA
Source: RNAcentral
GGCGACCGGCGCACGGGUGCGUAACGCGUAUGCAACUUGCCCUAUACAGGAGGAUAACCCGUCGAAAGACGGACUAAUACUGCGUAUGCUCACAUCUUGGCAUCAAGAGGUGAGGAAAGAAAUUCGGUAUAGGAUAGGCAUGCGUCCCAUUAGCUUGUUGGUGAGGUAACGGCUCACCAAGGCGACGAUGGGUAGGGGAACUGAGAGGUUUAUCCCCCACACUGGUACUGAGACACGGACCAGACUCC